Molecule: ribosomal RNA, 405 nt
Filed under: Salmonella enterica subsp. enterica serovar Saintpaul
Lineage: Bacteria; Pseudomonadati; Pseudomonadota; Gammaproteobacteria; Enterobacterales; Enterobacteriaceae
Also listed under: 1 other name
Description: partial 23S ribosomal RNA
Rfam family: Bacterial large subunit ribosomal RNA
Source: RNAcentral
AAUCCAUAGGUUAAUGAGGCGAACCGGGGGAACUGAAACAUCUAAGUACCCCGAGGAAAAGAAAUCAACCGAGAUUCCCCCAGUAGCGGCGAGCGAACGGGGAGGAGCCCAGAGCCUGAAUCAGCAUGUGUGUUAGUGGAAGCGUCUGGAAAGGCGCGCGAUACAGGGUGACAGCCCCGUACACAAAAGCGCAUGUGCUGUGAGCUCGAUGAGUAGGGCGGGACACGUGGUAUCCUGUCUGAAUAUGGGGGGACCAUCCUCCAAGGCUAAAUACUCCUGACUGACCGAUAGUGAACCAGUACCGUGAGGGAAAGGCGAAAAGAACCCCGGCGAGGGGAGUGAAAAAGAACCUGAAACCGUGUACGUACAAGCAGUGGGAGCACAGGUUUACCUGUGUGACUGCGU